GUCCACGCCGUAAACGAUGAUAACUAGCUGUUCGGGCACUUGGUGCUUGAGUGGCGCAGCUAACGCAUUAAGUUAUCCGCCUGGGGAGUACGGUCGCAAGAUUAAAACUCAAAGGAAUUGACGGGGGCCUGCACAAGCGGUGGAGCAUGUGGUUUAAUUCGAAGUAACGCGCAGAACCUUACCAGCGUUUGACAUGGUUAGUAUGGUUUCCAGAGAUGGAUUCCUUCAGUUCGGCUGGCUAACACACAGGUGCUGCAUGGCUGUCGU
RNAcentral lists this ribosomal RNA (267 nucleotides) under uncultured bacterium. RNAcentral's name for it is "partial 16S ribosomal RNA". It matches the Rfam family "Bacterial small subunit ribosomal RNA", at positions 793 to 1055 of the family's 1533-position model. The record is from RNAcentral.